Molecule: non-coding RNA, 23 nt
Filed under: Cricetulus griseus (Chinese hamster)
Lineage: Eukaryota; Metazoa; Chordata; Mammalia; Rodentia; Cricetidae
Source: RNAcentral
UUAGACUAGAGUUUACAAGGUGU